GGUUUAGGAAGAACUACAGGAUUCCCCUAGUAACUGCGAGUGAAGCGGGAAGAGCUCAAAUUUGAAAUCUGGCAGCUCUGCUGUCCGAGUUGUAAUCUGUAGAAGUGUUUUCUGCAUUGAACCGUGUAUAAGUCUCUUGGAACAGAGCGUCAUAGAGGGUGAGAAUCCCGUCCAUGACACGGACUACCAAUGCUUUGUGAUACACUCUCAAAGAGUCGAGUUGUUUGGGAAUGCAGCUCAAAAUGGGUGGUAGACUCCAUCUAAGGCUAAAUACAAGCGAGAGACCGAUAGUGAACAAGUACCGUGAGGGAAAGAUGAAAAGCACUUUGGAAAGAGAGUUAAACAGUAUGUGAAAUUGUUGAAAGGGAAACACUUGAAGUCAGUCACAUCCUGUAGGACUCAGCCUUGCCCUUAGGGACUUGGUGUAUUUCUUGCAGGAUGGGUCAACAUCAAUUUUGGUCAUUGGAUAAGGGAGAAGGGAAUGUAGCACCUUUGCGGGUGUGUUAUAGCCCUCCUUCAUAUACAUUGGCUGGGAUUGAGGACUGCAGCAUGCCCCUCUGGGGCCAGGCAACAUAUCAUGUUCACAUGCUUAGGAUGUUGACAAAAUGGCUUUAAGUGACCCGUCUUGAAACACGGACCAAGGAGUCUAACAUGCCUGCGAGUAUUUGGGUGGAAAACCCUUAUGCAUAAUGAAAGUGAAAAUUGGGAGCCCUUUAUAAUGGGGGGUGCACUGAUGCCCGGCCCAGAUGUUUACUGACGGUGCUGCGGUAGAGCAUGUAUGUUGGGACCCGAAAGAUGGUGAACUAUGCCUGAAUAGGGUGAAGCCAGAGGAAACUCUGGUGGAAGCUCGUAGCGAUUCUGACGUGCAAAUCGAUCGUCAAAUUUGGGUAUAGGGGCGAAAGACUAAUCGAACCAUCUAGUAGCUGGUUCCUGCCGAAGUUUCCCUCAGGAUAGCAGAAACUCAUAUCAGAUUUAUGUGGUAAAGCGAAUGAUUAGAGGCCUUGGGGUUGAAACAACCUUAACCUAUUCUCAAACUUUAAAUAUGUAAGAACGAGCCGUCACUUUGUUGGACCGCUCGAUGAUUGAGAGUUUCUAGUGGGCCAUUUUUGGUAAGCAGAACUGGCGAUGCGGGAUGAACCGAACGCAAGGUUAAGGUGCCAGAAUGCACGCUCAUCAGACACCACAAAAGGUGUUAGUUCAUCUAGACAGCAGGACGGUGGCCAUGGAAGUUGGAACCCGCUAAGGAGUGUGUAACAACUCACCUGCCGAAUGAACUAGCCCUGAAAAUGGAUGGCGCUCAAGCGUGCUACCCAUACCUUGCCAUCCACAUUGAAGUGAUGUGUGGAUGAGUAGGCAGGCGUGGAGGUUUGUGAAGAAGCCUGGCAGGAUGCUGC
RNAcentral lists this ribosomal RNA (1394 nucleotides) under Coltricia minor. Its description in RNAcentral is "eukaryotic LSU rRNA". It matches the Rfam family "Eukaryotic large subunit ribosomal RNA", at positions 49 to 1424 of the family's 3401-position model. The record is from RNAcentral. Lineage: Eukaryota; Fungi; Basidiomycota; Agaricomycetes; Hymenochaetales; Hymenochaetaceae.